Molecule: non-coding RNA, 95 nt
Organism: Xylariaceae sp. FL0255
Lineage: Eukaryota; Fungi; Ascomycota; Sordariomycetes; Xylariales; Xylariaceae
Source: the annotation of a GenBank genome assembly
GUGAGAUUGGUAUAGUGGUUAUUACUCCACGUUGUGGUCAUUGAUCUUGAUUAUGUAAAACCGUGGUAACCCGUGUUCGAUUCACGGAUCUCACA